GAUGAAUGCUGGCGGCGCGCCUAACACAUGCAAGUCGAGCGGUAACAGGUCUAGUUUACUAGAUGCUGACGAGCGGCGGACGGCUGAGUAACGCGUGGGAACAUGCCCCAAAGUGAGGAAUAACUGCCCGAAAGGGUAGCUAAUGCCGCAUAUGAUCUUCGGAUUAAAGGAUUUAUCCGCUUUGGGAGUGGCCCGCGUACGAUUAGGUAGUUGGUGAGGUAAUGGCUCACCAAGCCUACGAUCGUUAACUGGUCUGAGAGGAUGAUCAGUCAGACUGGAACUGAGACACGGUCCAGACUCCUACGGGUGGCUG
This 313-nucleotide ribosomal RNA is filed under the name uncultured Candidatus Saccharibacteria bacterium. RNAcentral describes it as "bacterial SSU rRNA". It matches the Rfam family "Bacterial small subunit ribosomal RNA", at positions 28 to 351 of the family's 1533-position model. Lineage: Bacteria; Candidatus Saccharimonadota. The record is from RNAcentral.